Molecule: ribosomal RNA, 534 nt
Filed under: uncultured bacterium
Lineage: Bacteria
Description: partial 16S ribosomal RNA
Rfam family: Bacterial small subunit ribosomal RNA
Source: RNAcentral
UGGGGAAUAUUGGACAAUGGGGGGAACCCUGAUCCAGCCAUGCCGCGUGUGUGAAGAAGGCCUUAUGGUUGUAAAGCACUUUAAGCGAGGAGGAGGCUACUAGUAUUAAUACUACUGGAUAGUGGACGUUACUCGCAGAAUAAGCACCGGCUAACUCUGUGCCAGCAGCCGCGGUAAUACAGAGGGUGCGAGCGUUAAUCGGAUUUACUGGGCGUAAAGCGUGCGUAGGCGGCCAUUUAAGUCAAAUGUGAAAUCCCGAGCUUAACUUGGGAAUUGCAUUCGAUACUGGAUGGCUAGAGUAUGGGAGAGGAUGGUAGAAUUCCAGGUGUAGCGGUGAAAUGCGUAGAGAUCUGGAGGAAUACCGAUGGCGAAGGCAGCCAUCUGGCCUAAUACUGACGCUGAGGUACGAAAGCAUGGGGAGCAAACAGGAUUAGAUACCCUGGUAGUCCAUGCCGUAAACGAUGUCUACUAGCCGUUGGGGCCUUUGAGGCUUUAGUGGCGCAGCUAACGCGAUAAGUAGACCGCCUGGGGAGU